AUUGAACGCUGGCGGCAUGCCUUACACAUGCAAGUCGAACGGCAGCACGGGUGCUUGCACCUGGUGGCGAGUGGCGAACGGGUGAGUAAUACAUCGGAACAUGUCCUGUAGUGGGGGAUAGCCCGGCGAAAGCCGGAUUAAUACCGCAUACGAUCUACGGAUGAAAGCGGGGGACCUUCGGGCCUCGCGCUAUAGGGUUGGCCGAUGGCUGAUUAGCUAGUUGGUGGGGUAAAGGCCUACCAAGGCGACGAUCAGUAGCCGGUCUGAGAGGACGACCAGCCACACUGGGACUGAGACACGGCCCAGACUCCUACGGGAGGCAGCAGUGGGGAAUUUUGGACAAAGGGCGAAAGCCUGAUCCAGCAAUGCCGCGUGUGUGAAGAAGGCCUUCGGGUUGUAAAGCACUUUUGUCCGGAAAGAAAUCCUUGGCCCUAAUACGGUCGGGGGAUGACGGUACCGGAAGAAUAAGCACCGGCUAACUACGUG
This 486-nucleotide ribosomal RNA is filed under the name uncultured bacterium. Its description in RNAcentral is "partial 16S ribosomal RNA". It matches the Rfam family "Bacterial small subunit ribosomal RNA", at positions 30 to 507 of the family's 1533-position model. The record is from RNAcentral.